CUGUAGAGUCGGCUGCAUUUGUUUGUGUAACACUUUUUAAGCCAUAAAUGGGAUUUAAUUACUGCGUUGUGUUUGAUUUGGAUGUCCUUAAGUGCUGUAUGGGAAACAUUUAGGAGUGUUUGGCUUCCCUAAAAUGGCGGCGUGUCAGCAGGGACUCAGACGGUGCAGGAUGUCAUGACGUCAUCCUUCAGGCAAUGCAUGAUGGGACAGACAGGGUCAUGGAUCCUCAGAGCUUCGGGUUGUGUUCUUCUGCUGGAGCUCCUCACAGGUCUGCAGGACACAAGGGAAGACGCGCUUAUUCAGAGAUGGUGUGUAUUUGUUUGAGGAAGCCUGACACACACACACACACCUUUAGACCCAAGUGAGUCAGUCAGGAGGAAAGAGUCUUACCUGAUGUGAGAGCUGCAAGGAGCACGCUGACAUGUCAGUGUUAGCAGGCCGACUGCAAGUGGACCUGAAGUCCAGCUGAGUUUUGAGAGGAAACUUUCACUUCACUUUUCUUUUCAGCGUGUCACUAAGAACACAUGCGGCCCCUUCUCAUAAGUCACAUGGCCACCCGCAGUCCAAUACAAUGGCAUGGGAGUGAGACUUCGCUCAAAGAUAACUGUGUGUGGCUCCAUCAUGUUGACCUCGGCUCUCCAAAGCCUGGCAUUGAGAGCCCUUGGUGGACCACAGCAGUUUUUGUUGGCCGUUAAACACAAAACAUCACAAAUCUAAGUAUAACAAAUCUAUAGUUUUAGUUUUCUAGGUUUUGCUCCAAUGUCCAUACAAUCCUGAGGGAAACACACACACACACAUAUGAGAAAAAGUAUUGUUUUUCACUUAAAAACUGUCAAAGUCCAUCCAUCCAUUUUAUGUACUGCUUAGCCUCACGAGGGUUGCAGGUAUGCUGGAGCCUAUCCCAGCUGACUUCAGGCGAGAGGCGGGUCCACCCUGGCUUGGUCGCCAGCCAAUCACAGGUCAAACAAAGUGAUGUUGGGAAUUAUUUGUUAAUUAUUAACAAGAGAAUGACUCAAACGUUGCCUCUGUUGUUUUCACUGCUUUUAUAUACUUUUAGCAUCAAUGCCUGUGCAAAUAUUUACAAUUAAAAGUGUUCUGAA
Non-coding RNA from Doryrhamphus excisus (bluestripe pipefish), 1100 nucleotides. NCBI's taxonomy places the organism in Eukaryota, Metazoa, Chordata, Actinopteri, Syngnathiformes, Syngnathidae. The record is from RefSeq and is a predicted model, not a curated record.